This 912-nucleotide ribosomal RNA is filed under the name uncultured bacterium. RNAcentral's name for it is "bacterial SSU rRNA". It matches the Rfam family "Bacterial small subunit ribosomal RNA", at positions 33 to 927 of the family's 1533-position model. The record is from RNAcentral.
ACGCUGGCGGCGUGCCUAAUACAUGCAAGUAGAACGCUGAAGCUUGGUGCUUGCACCGAGCGGAAGAGUUGCGAACGGGUGAGUAACGCGUAGGUAACCUGCCUCUUAGCGGGGGAUAACUAUUGGAAACGAUAGCUAAUACCGCAUAAAAGUCGGCAUUGCAUGAUGUUGACUUGAAAGGUGCAACUGCAUCACUAAGAGAUGGACCUGCGUUGUAUUAGCUAGUUGGUGAGGUAACGGCUCACCAAGGCGACGAUACAUAGCCGACCUGAGAGGGUGAUCGGCCACACUGGGACUGAGACACGGCCCAGACUCCUACGGGAGGCAGCAGUAGGGAAUCUUCGGCAAUGGACGGAAGUCUGACCGAGCAACGCCGCGUGAGUGAAGAAGGUUUUCGGAUCGUAAAGCUCUGUUGUAAGAGAAGAACGAGUGUGAGAGUGGAAAGUUCACACUGUGACGGUAACUUACCAGAAAGGGACGGCUAACUACGUGCCAGCAGCCGCGGUAAUACGUAGGUCCCGAGCGUUAUCCGGAUUUAUUGGGCGUAAAGCGAGCGCAGGCGGUUAGAUAAGUCUGAAGUUAAAGGCUGUGGCUUAACCAUAGUACGCUUUGGAAACUGUUUAACUUGAGUGCAGAAGGGGAGAGUGGAAUUCCAUGUGUAGCGGUGAAAUGCGUAGAUAUAUGGAGGAACACCGGUGGCGAAAGCGGCUCUCUGGUCUGUAACUGACGCUGAGGCUCGAAAGCGUUGGGAGCAAACAGGAUUAGAUACCCUGGUAGUCCACGCCGUAAACGAUGAGUGCUAGGUGUUGGGUCCUUUCCGGGACUCAGUGCCGCAGCUAACGCAUUAAGCACUCCGCCUGGGGAGUACGACCGCAAGGUUGAAACUCAAAGGAAUUGACGGGGGCCCGCACA